UAGAUUGCAGGCUGNAACCCGCCUGCAUGAAGUCGGAAUUGCUAGCAAUCGCGGAUCAGCAUGCCGCGGUGAAUACGUUCCCGGGCCUUGUACACACCGCCCGUCACACCAUGGGAGCCGGUAAUACCCGAAGUCAGUAGUCCAACCUCGUGAGGACGCUGCCGAAGGUAGGAUUGGCGACUGGGGUGAAGUCGUAACAAGGUAUC
Molecule: ribosomal RNA, 206 nt
Filed under: uncultured bacterium
Lineage: Bacteria
Description: partial 16S ribosomal RNA
Rfam family: Bacterial small subunit ribosomal RNA
Source: RNAcentral